CAAGUCGAGCGAACAGACGAGGAGCUUGCUCCUCUAACGUUAGCGGCGGACGGGUGAGUAACACGUGGAUAACCUACCUAUAAGACUGGGAUAACUUCGGGAAACCGGAGCUAAUACCGGAUAAUAUAUUGAACCGCAUGGUUCAAUAGUGAAAGACGGUUUUGCUGUCACUUAUAGAUGGAUCCGCGCCGCAUUAGCUAGUUGGUAAGGUAACGGCUUACCAAGGCAACGAUGCGUAGCCGACCUGAGAGGGUGAUCGGCCACACUGGAACUGAGACACGGUCCAGACUCCUACGGGAGGCAGCAGUAGGGAAUCUUCCGCAAUGGGCGAAAGCCUGACGGAGCAACGCCGCGUGAGUGAUGAAGGUCUUCGGAUCGUAAAACUCUGUUAUUAGGGAAGAACAAAUGUGUAAGUAACUAUGCACGUCUUGACGGUACCUAAUCAGAAAGCCACGGCUAACUACGUGCCAGCAGCCGCGGUAAUACGUAGGUGGCAAGCGUUAUCCGGAAUUAUUGGGCGUAAAGCGCGCGUAGGCGGUUUUUUAAGUCUGAUGUGAAAGCCCACGGCUCAACCGUGGAGGGUCAUUGGAAACUGGAAAACUUGAGUGCGGAAGAGGAAAGUGGAAUUCCAUGUGUAGCGGUGAAAUGCGCAGAGAUAUGGAGGAACACCAGUGGCGAAGGCGACUUUCUGGUCUGUAAC
RNAcentral lists this ribosomal RNA (700 nucleotides) under uncultured Staphylococcus sp. RNAcentral's name for it is "bacterial SSU rRNA". It matches the Rfam family "Bacterial small subunit ribosomal RNA", at positions 58 to 740 of the family's 1533-position model. Lineage: Bacteria; Bacillati; Bacillota; Bacilli; Caryophanales; Staphylococcaceae. The record is from RNAcentral.